Molecule: RNA transcript, 1158 nt
Organism: Brachypodium distachyon (stiff brome)
Lineage: Eukaryota; Viridiplantae; Streptophyta; Magnoliopsida; Poales; Poaceae
Gene name: phylloplanin
Exons: 4
Source: RefSeq, a predicted model, not a curated record
GUCAUCCCUACAGAAGCCAAAGCACACGGAGCUGAACCAGCCAGCCAAAUCUAAUCUACCCAACACACUCGGACAAAUACUCAAAUGGCAUCAUCAUCCAAGCUGCUGCAGGCCGUCGUCCUCCUCGCCGCCACCGUGAUGAUCAUCCCGGUGGCGGCGUCCUUAAGCUUGCCGGGCGCCGCCGGGAAGGCGAAGACGAUGUUCCAGAAGGCCAAGGUGGUCGUGGCCGGCGCCGUCCCCUGCAGCACCGGCAGCCUCAUCGACAUCGCCACCUCCCCCGCCUUCCCAAAUGCGGAGGUGGAGCUGCGGUGCGCGGGGCAGGUGGUGGCGGGGGCGACGACGAGCACGAACGGGACGUUCACGAUGGAGCUGCAGCUGACGGGCGCGGCGGCGGUGGCGGUGGAGGCGUUCGUCGGCGGGUGCUCGCUGGUGGUGGACACGCCGCUCGUCAAGUGCAACGCCACGCUGCCGCCGGCGGGGGAGCUGGUGUCGCACCUCCAAGGCCCGCUCGCCAGGCUGCUCGGCGGCGUCUUCCACCUCUUCCCCGCCGGAUUCUCCUUCCACCCCCGAUGAUUAUGUUGGUACAUGUACUGGGAGAUCUAGCAGCUAGUUUGACUGUUACAGUGGGUCCUUCCAUCUCUCUGCAUCUUGACUCUUGCUCGUUGAAGAAGACGGAAGAAGCAGGAUGGAUGAAGGUAUUUGUGGAGUGAUGUCGUAGAACCGGAUGCAUGCAAAUAAGAUCAUCAGAAUUGGCGUCAUCGUCGCGACGACUCGAUCCGCAGCCACCAAGAAGAAGAAAAAAACUUCGUAUUUUUUUCUUGAUUCCUUUUUCAAGAAAAAAGAGCUUUUAUUGAUACUUGUCAUCAUAUCAAACCUUGCUACUAGUCCAUGGUUAUCUUUUUCUUCUUCGAAAGCGGGAACGAAUAAAGCACGCUGUCCCCGGAUCACCUUGCUUGCAAAACAAUCGCCCGAGGCUGUAACAACUCGUUUACAGGAUUCGUAGUGGUGUAAUAAACACAAUCAUGUCUAAUGGGCCUUCACCAAUCGCCGGACAGAUAUAGUGCUCUUUUUUUUCUUACAAGUCUAAAGUGGGCAGGAUAUGUAAAGGGCCAAGAAAAGUGAAAUGCCACUCUGAAUUCUGCAGUGUGCCACACGUAA